AAUUAUUGUAAAUAGAUAUCAAUUUGUUAUAAACUAUUGUUAAAAUUACUUUUUGUUAAAAGUAUUAGGUCAUCCCAUAAGUUCGUGCCGUUUUUCGAGCGGUUAUAUAUGUUAAGAUUGUUUACAUACCUUUCAGUUUCAUGAAAAAAUUUCGUUCCGUUUUUCGAGCGGUUAUAUAUGUUAAGAUUGUUUACAUACCUUUCAGUUUCAUGAAAAAAUGUAAUCCCCCUCUCGUUGUACAACUUCUUUCCAUUUUUCAAGUGCAUUGGUCCCUUAUCGCCGUAUGUUUAUAAAUCGACACAUGAAAUGUAUACACAAAAGUCGGCACGAACUUAUGGGAUGACCUAAUAUAUC
This 354-nucleotide unclassified non-coding RNA is filed under the name Bombus terrestris (buff-tailed bumblebee). RNAcentral describes it as "misc RNA ENSBTSG00005035819.1". The record is from RNAcentral. Lineage: Eukaryota; Metazoa; Arthropoda; Insecta; Hymenoptera; Apidae.